This 586-nucleotide ribosomal RNA is filed under the name uncultured bacterium. RNAcentral describes it as "partial 16S ribosomal RNA". It matches the Rfam family "Bacterial small subunit ribosomal RNA", at positions 355 to 1375 of the family's 1533-position model. The record is from RNAcentral.
UGGGGAAUUUUGGACAAUGGGCGAAAGCCUGAUCCAGCAAUGCCGUGUGUGUGAAGAAGGCCUUCGGGUUGUAAAGCACUUUUGUCCGGAAAGAAAUCCUUGGCUCUAAUACAGUCGGGGGAUGACGGUACCGGAAGAAUAAGCACCGGCUAACUACGUGCCAGCAGCCGCGGUAAUACGUAGGGUGCAAGCGUUAAUCGGAAUUACUGGGCGUAAAGCGUGCGCAGGCGGUUUGCUAAGACCGAUGUGAAAUCCCCGGGCUCAACCUGGGAACUGCAUUGGUGACUGGCAGGCUAGAGUAUGGCAGAGGGGGGUAGAAUUCCACGUGUAGCAGUGAAAUGCGUAGAGAUGUGGAGGAAUACCGAUGGCGAAGGCAGCCCCCUGGGCCAAUACUGACGCUCAUGCACGAAAGCGUGGGGAGCAAACAGGAUUAGAUACCCUGGUAGUCCACGCCCUAAAACGAUGUCAACUAGUUGUUGGGGAUUCAUUUCCUUAGUAACGUAGCUAACGCGUGAAGUUGACCGCCUGGGGAGUACGGUCGCAAGAUUAAAACUCAAAGGAAUUGACGGGGUCAUAGCUGUUUCCU